This 253-nucleotide ribosomal RNA is filed under the name uncultured bacterium. RNAcentral describes it as "partial 16S ribosomal RNA". It matches the Rfam family "Bacterial small subunit ribosomal RNA", at positions 524 to 776 of the family's 1533-position model. The record is from RNAcentral.
UACGUAGGGGGCAAGCGUUGUCCGGAUUUAUUGGGCGUAAAGAGCGUGUAGGCGGUCCGGUAAGUCAGCUGUGAAAGUCAAGGGCUCAACCCUUGAAUGCCGGUUGAUACUGUCGGGCUAGAGUCCGGAAGAGGCGAGUGGAAUUCCCGGUGUAGCGGUGAAAUGCGCAGAUAUCGGGAGGAACACCAAUGGCGAAGGCAGCUCGCUGGGACGGUACUGACGCUGAGGCACGAAAGCGUGGGGAUCAAACAGG